Molecule: ribosomal RNA, 432 nt
Filed under: uncultured bacterium
Lineage: Bacteria
Description: partial 16S ribosomal RNA
Rfam family: Bacterial small subunit ribosomal RNA
Source: RNAcentral
GAUGAACGCUGGCGGUAUGCUUAACACAUGCAAGUCGAACGGUCACUUCGGUGCUAGUGGCGGACGGGUGAGUAACGCGUGAGAAUCUGUCUUCAGGUCGGGGACAACAGUUAGAAAUGACUGCUAAUACCGGAUGUGCCUUUGGGUGAAAGAUUUAUUGCCUGAAAAAGAGCUCGCGUCAGAUUAGCUAGUAGGUGGUGUAAGAGACUAUCUAGGCUCCGAUCUGUAGCUGGUCUGAGAGGACGAUCAGCCACACUGGAACUGAGACACGGUCCAGACUCCUACGGGAGGCAGCAGUGGGGAAUUUUCCGCAAUGGGCGAAAGUCUGACGGAGCAAUACCGCGUGAGGGACGAAGGCUUUUGGGUCGUAAACCUCUUUUCUCAAGGAAGAUGAUGACGGUACUUGAGGAAUAAGCAUCGGCUAACUCUGUG